AGAGGAAGAUGGUGUAGUCACGGUGUCACGGCUUUGAAAAAGCUGCUGGUACCUUGAUCGUAACUGUGACAGCAAGAUCAUUCCCUGGAUCGAUGGCUGCUGAGUGGAAUGCGGUGGAUCUGGAUCGAUGGCUGCUCGUACUUUUUUUUUCUUAGACAAUCUCGGUGCCAUAAGAAUACCUGCAAUAUAUAGUCAAAUGAAAUCAAUGUUAAGAUUUUAAACUAAAUCAACUGAGGUCAACUUUAAGAUAUUCAUGUAGGCAGUUUAUCAUUAAGUUAAAGCUAGUUUAUCACUGCAUAGUCUAUAUAUAUGUGUAGGUAGUUUACUAUUAUACAUGUGUAUAUACAAUUUUUUAUGUAUGUUUAUACUAUAGAGUCCCCAAAAAAAGAUCAUUGCAAUCUCACAAUUGUAUCAUAGGAAAACAUUAGUUAGAGAAAGAGAAAAAAAUUUUGUGCUGCAGUUAGAAUUGUACCGGCAAGAUGCACUUACCAACUCCAAAUCAGCCACACCAACGAAGCAAUAAUUUGCUGCAUGACAUUGAGCAGUUGGAAAUCAAAAUAAAUCAUUGUCAUGGUCAUUGUCAUUAUCAUUCUAUUGAUCAUCAUCUUCGGUACAAUAUUCUGCCAAGGUAUUUUCUUUAUCUUUACUAUCCCUUGUUGCUAACUCUUCUACUUGAUGAUAUAAAUCUCGGAUUGCAUUCAACAAAGUAUCAUCUAUUAUAUCAGGUUCGACAUCAUCUUUAUCUAAUGACUCUAUGUGACAUUCCUCAAUAUCUGCAGGAGUCAUUUCAAGACCAUCUUUAUCAUCAGAAUCUUCUUCUAUUUUUGCACCAAUAGAGAUGUCAUACACAUGUCUAUACUGAUAUUCUUGCACAACACAUCAGUUUUGUCCCAGUUUCAUGUCUUGUAAAUAAUAAACUUGCUUCGCUUGAUUUGCAAGAAUAAAUGGAUCAUUCUUAUACCAUAAUCUGGUUACAUUUAUGCUUUGCACAUUUCUAUUGAUCCUAACAUUAGCAUUUCUAGAUCCAAGAUCAUACCACUUGCACUUAAAAAGAGCAACACUUUUAUACUUGACAUAAUUCAAUUGAAUAAUAUCUAUUAAUACCCCAAAGAAAUCGAUGAUAACAUCUUCAUGGUUUCCUUUUACCACAAUAUUACUAUUUUAUGACUUUCUACGAGAAUCACGAACUUCAGUGUGGAAUCACACGUCGUUUGCAAUACAUCCCGAGUACUUUUGUAUCAAAACAUGAGGUCCACAUGCCAAUGCAUAUAAAUACUCGAUUCUACUUUUUUUGCCUGGUCUGUACAAUGUUGCCAUCUACCAUUAUGUAAAAUAAAUUAUAUUAGUUGAAUAUAUGAAAAUACAAUACGUAUGCACACAAACAAUUUUGUAGAGUUUGUAUUUUUAUCCGAUGCUUUAUCCACAAAAAAAAUUAUUCUCUACAUUUGUUCUCAACAUUUAACGAACUUUGCUCCAUCAGCUCAACCUUAUGCUCUCUAACAAAAAGGUAUCAUUUACUACAUAUUUCUAUAUCGAAUAUUUUAAUAAUAAAAUUUAGGUAGUAAGAACUUACUCAAAAUAAGACUCAAUCUCUUCACAAUUGGUAAGUACAUACCAAUGAGUCAUAUCUUGCUCUUUUUUGGGUGGAAAAACAACCUGAGUUACUCCAAAUAUCCUAAUUUGUUGGAAAAAUACUGUUAUGUCAUCGUUAUUGGCUUUAUCAUUAUUUGGCUCAUCCACAUUAAAAUAGAUCUUGAUACUUCGAAGGUACAUAAAACAAAAUGUCAAGCAUUACUUGACUACAUAUGCCUUAGCAAUAAAUCCUUCUGGACGAGCUUUAUUUCGAACAAAUCUCUUUAGAGAGUCAAAAAAGCUAAAUUUAAAAUUUAAAAUAAUUACAUAAUAUAAAUAAUUACCUAAAUUUAAAGUUCAGAAUCUAAAAGAAGUUACUAUGAUACCUUUCGAUUGGAUACAUCCAUCGAUAUGCCACUGGUCCACCUAGCAAGGCUUCAUUUGGCAAAUGAACAACCAAAUGUACUAUCACAUCAAAGAAAGCUGAUGAAAAAAUUAUUUUAAAUUUAUAUAGCAUCAAGGAUAUAUUUGUACACAUCUCGAUAUCAUCCACAAUCAAAGUUUGACGACAUAUUUGAUGGAAGAAGUCACCUAACUCCAUCAAUGUAGCUGUCACAUCCUUCUUCAAGAUUCUACAUGUGCCUAUAGGAAGAAUGCUUUCUAGGAGAACAUGACAAUCAUCGAUUUUUAGUCCCAUAAUCUUUUUUUCCUCAACAUUGAUACAUCGAGAUAUAUUAGAUGCAUAUCCACCCAAAACUUUAUCCCUUUAAGAAACUCACAGAAACUCUUUUUUUUAGUGUUUGAUAUUGUGUAGCAUGCAGGAGGAAUUAUGUAGGAUCCGUCAUUUCUCUUCACCAAGUCCAAAUUUCUUUUGAAUUUUUUUAUCUUCCAAGUCGAGUCUAGCCUUGAUAGUGUCCUUUAUUUCACCUUCAAGAUUUAACAAGGUACCAAGGAUAUUGUCAUAAAUAUUCUUUUUAAUACGCAUGACAUCAAGGUUAUGCCUCAAUCUCAACUUACACCAAUAUGGCAACUCAAAAAGAAUAGUCUUUUUUGUCUGAUUCAACUCUUCUGUUGAUCUCGAUCUCUUUUUAUUAUUAGAAUACUUUCUAUAGUCUAUGUUCUUCAAAUGGGAUAGUUAUUGCAUCACAUCAUCUCCAUUUGGUAAGACAGGUGAGGGUCGAUAGUCCACCUUACCAUCAAACCUCUUGCUCUUCCUCCAUGCAUGGUCAUGAGGAAGAAAACACCGAUGACUCAGGUAACCAAUCUUGCUUCUCAAUUUAUGAGAAAGAGUAUGCUUAUUGCAAACAGGAUAAGCCAUAUACCCUUUAGUGACCCAUCCAGAAAUAUUACCAUAAGCUGAAAAAUCAUUAAUAGUCCAUAAUAGAACCGCAUGCAUUCGAAAAUUUUGGCCGUAUGAAGCAUCGAAAAUAUCAAUACCCUUAUCCCAUAACUCAUUCAACUCAUCUACUAAUGGCUUUAAGUAGAUAUCAAUAUCUCUAUUCGGUCCUUUCGGACCUAGAAUAAGUAGUGACAGCAUAAAGAAUGACUCAUCCAUGUACAUCUAAGGGGGUAAAUUAUAUACCAAAAGAACAAUAAGCCACAUACUAUAGGCAUUAGACAUGUUAUCAAAUGGAUUGAAUCCAUCUGUUCUAGGUCAAGCCUCACAUUACGGGGUUCUCUAGCAAACUCUGGAUACUAUUUGUCAAAGUUCUUCCAAGAUUCACCAUCAGACGGAUGAAUCAUGAUGUUACUCUCACUUCUAGAUCUAUCUUUGUGCUAUCUCAUUUCUUUAGCUGUUUUUCUCGAUAUAAAUAAUCGUUGCAAUCUAAACUUCAACGAAAAGUACCAUAAUGCUUUAUAAGGGAUCUUCUUAUCCUUACCAUUAUUAAUCAUCCAUCUCGACAUUCCACACUUUGGACAACUGUCACAGUUUUCAUGCUCUUUCCAAAAGAGAGCACAGUCAUAUUUACAUGCAUGUAUUGGCACAUAACCCAAGCCCAAGUUCCAUAGAAAGUGAUUUGCUGCAUAGUAAGACUUUGGCAAGGAUUGACCACUGGGCAAGACAUCUCUUAGCAAUGAUAAUAGCAUAUCAAAAGACUUAUUACUCCAUUUGUUGUAUACUUUCAAAUGGAGUAACUUUACAAUAAAUGAUAAUUUUGAAAAUUUUGUACAUUCUGGAUACAACUCUUUGGUAGCUUCCAUCAAUAAAUCAUUAAAAACAUCGGUACAAGAACAACUAGCACCUGUAGAAGUCCUCAAAUUUUUCUCAAUAGGAUAAUCGUUAAAGAAACUAUCAACGUCACGUAGCAAGUCUCUUAUCUCGUCGUCAUCAUCAUCCUCAUUUGAGUCAUUGCCUAAAUCGUCACUUUCUGUAUCUGCAAAUAGAAAUCUAUCUCGAUUAUCGAAAAAUUGAAAUUUUGUCCAUUCACCAUGAAACAUCCAUCGAGUGUAUGAUUGAUCCAUGCCAAAUCUCAAUAGAUGAUCGAAGACAUUCUCUCAAGGCUCCAUAUAAAUGUUCAAGCAACGUGAACAAGGACACCGAAUUUCACAAUCUUUGCCUUGAUUUUGAGCCACAAAAGUCAUAAAUGAUUUGACUUCCUUUAUAUAUUCGCGAGAGAACUUAACACAAUUCAUCCAAUACUUAUUCAUGUUAUAUACAAAUACCUAUCAUUAAAACCCAAACAAACUUCAGCAAGUGUGCCAUUUAAAUUACAUCUUUACAAAAAAAUGGCAAGAAAAAAAGGGCAAAAAAAGAAGAGCAGUAGGGCCGGCAUUAACAUAGAAAAACAUGAAUUAUUUAUUCAGAUCAAGUAUUGGGCUGGUUCGAAUUUAAACUUUCAAAUAUUUACAGUCUCCUACAACUCGCAUCUAAAUAUUUUCCUACUUUUUAUAAUACCUCNNNNNNNNNNNNNNNNNNNNAUUACAUCUUUACAAAAAAAUGGCAAGAAAAAAAGGGCAAAAAAAGAAGAGCAGUAGGGCCGGCAUUAACAUAGAAAAACAUGAAUUAUUUAUUCAGAUCAAGUAUUGGGCUGGUUCGAAUUUAAACUUUCAAAUAUUUACAGUCUCCUACAACUCGCAUCUAAAUAUUUUCCUACUUUUUUAUAAUACCUCCCUCUCUCUCUCUCUCUCACCCGCAUAGACAUACAUGCAUACAUACAUAUGUAUACGUAUAUAUAUAUGUAUAUGUAUAACACACACCCCACGUGGUACUAGCUAGAAUAUUUGCAACUACACUUGAUUUCUUCUGACCAGUGGCAUGGAUCAACUUGCGAAGUUUGUGGAAGCAAAUGUUUAAAGUUUUCCCCUCAAAAAAAAAGAAAAAAUGAAAAUAAAAUAAUCAAAAGAAUAAGUAUUUGCAAAUCACAACCUAGUUAGAUAUGGAUUGCAUGUUUCUAACAGCAUGAAUCAAAAAGAAAAGGACAGCUUUCCCUUUAUAAAAAACCAACUACCUCACUGAAUUGGGUAUGGACCAUAAUUAAUAGCCAACAAAAGUCUGCAUACUAUCGUAAUAUCUUAUAACUAAGAAUUAUUCCAUUGAAUUCAUACUCAAUUCCUAACCUAGUCAAAGUUGAGCAAGCUUUGAUAUAUUCUUUUUUUUCUUAAAUGUGAUUUUGACCCUGACAAACCACCCAUAUUGGUAGUCCUGCAAUGUGUGCCCUACCAUAUACUAUGAUUUUUUUUUUGAGAACUAACAAUGCCUGCUUGCAUUCUCCAUUGUUUUCUUUUUGAUUCUCUCCUUGAAUCAUACUUUAGUGACAAACAAUAGAAAAAAGAGAUUCUUGCAUUAUUUUCUUUUUGAUUCCCUCCCUAAAUCAUACUUUAGUGACAAACAAUAGAUAAAGGAUAAUCUCGCCUAAUAAAUUUAUUUUCUUUCACCUUCUUAAUUAAUUAGCAACCAAUGGAUAUCUUAAAAUAUGUAAAUUAUUCACAAUCUAAUGUUAACUUGAGGAAAGAUAUUCACAAUCUAAUGUCAAAGCAUGUAAAUUAUUUUUUUUAAUUUGAUUGGUAGCUAUCACCACAGCCCAUAGAGAAGGGGACCAUUCAAACACGUGUGUUCAGAAUGCCAAAGCAAAGCCAAAUGAACAGCGAAGAAAGAAUUACAAAUCAAGAAAAAUGAUUAGCAACAAACAACUUGAGAAAGAUUAAAUUAGGGAACAAGUAAUACCUGAACCGAUGAUGAUGAUGGCGACGAGCGAAGAUGGGAAGACCGGUGAUGAUGAUGGCAAUGAGCGA
Molecule: long non-coding RNA, 5805 nt
Filed under: Elaeis guineensis (African oil palm)
Lineage: Eukaryota; Viridiplantae; Streptophyta; Magnoliopsida; Arecales; Arecaceae
Description: long non-coding RNA (EGUI_LNC025694)
Source: RNAcentral